GCUUUAAAUGUCUCCAUCAUAACUUUUUUGAAAACUCUAAAAAGAGAAUCAGGUCUGGAUAAACCAAUUCAAUCUGAAUAUAAUUCAGGUUUUGGUUAUCUUCUGAUGCUGAUUUUCAAACAUCGUCUUAAGAUCAUCUCUAGUUUUACAAAGUUAAUGGCUUCCCAUGAGUAAUGAGAACUAGCGAACGUUAAUAUUUUAUUUUACAUGAUCUAUCAGUUUACAAAUUCAAAACAGACAACUUAUAUUUAAUAGUAACCAUGGAAGAUAAUAUAUAUCACUACCAUAAUUAUUUAUUUGUUGAUCUACUAAUAAUAAUCACUUCAUGAAACCUUGAGCCAUCUUA
RNAcentral lists this long non-coding RNA (346 nucleotides) under Brassica napus (rape). RNAcentral's name for it is "long non-coding RNA (BNAP_LNC027008)". Lineage: Eukaryota; Viridiplantae; Streptophyta; Magnoliopsida; Brassicales; Brassicaceae. The record is from RNAcentral.